GUCUUUAAGAAAUUAAUUUAAAGUCCAAUCUGCCCAAUGAUUUUAUUAAAUGGCUGCAGAAUUUUAACUGUACAAAGGUAGCAUAAUAAUUUGUUUUUUAAUUAAAAACUAGAAUGAAAGAUUUAAUGAAAUAUAAACUGUUUCAAUUAAUUUUAUUAUUAAAAUUUUUAUUUAAGUAAAAAAACUUAAAUAAACUUUAAAGACAACAAGACCCUAUAGAAUUUUAUUUAUUUUAUUUUAAAAUAAAGUAAAAUAAAUUUUAUUGGGAAAAUUAAAAAAUUAAAUUAAUUUUUUAUUAAAAAUACAUAAAUAAAUGAAUUAAUUUUAUCUUAAUUUUUAAAUUAAAAAAAUUAAUUACCUUAGGGAUAACAGCAUAAUUUUUUUUAAAAGACCAUAUUUAUAAAAAAGAUUAU
This 413-nucleotide ribosomal RNA is filed under the name Iphiaulax sp. RNAcentral describes it as "partial 16S ribosomal RNA". Lineage: Eukaryota; Metazoa; Arthropoda; Insecta; Hymenoptera; Braconidae. The record is from RNAcentral.